GAUGAACGCUGGCGGCGUGCCUAAUACAUGCAAGUCGAGCGAACAGACGAGGAGCUUGCUCCUCUGACGUUAGCGGCGGACGGGUGAGUAACACGUGGAUAACCUACCUAUAAGACUGGGAUAACUUCGGGAAACCGGAGCUAAUACCGGAUAAUAUAUUGAACCGCAUGGUUCAAUAGUGAAAGACGGUUUUGCUGUCACUUAUAGAUGGAUCCGCGCCGCAUUAGCUAGUUGGUAAGGUAACGGCUUACCAAGGCAACGAUGCGUAGCCGACCUGAGAGGGUGAUCGGCCACACUGGAACUGAGACACGGUCCAGACUCCUACGGGAGGCAGCAGUAGGGAAUCUUCCGCAAUGGGCGAAAGCCUGACGGAGCAACGCCGCGUGAGCGGUGAAGGUCUUCGGAUCGUAAAACUCUGUUAUUAGGGAAGAACAAAUGUGUAAGUAACUAUGCACGUCUUGACGGUACCUAAUCAGAAAGCCACGGCUAACUACGUG
This 497-nucleotide ribosomal RNA is filed under the name uncultured bacterium. RNAcentral describes it as "partial 16S ribosomal RNA". It matches the Rfam family "Bacterial small subunit ribosomal RNA", at positions 28 to 507 of the family's 1533-position model. The record is from RNAcentral.